This 448-nucleotide ribosomal RNA is filed under the name uncultured bacterium. Its description in RNAcentral is "bacterial SSU rRNA". It matches the Rfam family "Bacterial small subunit ribosomal RNA", at positions 37 to 520 of the family's 1533-position model. The record is from RNAcentral.
UGGCGGCAGGCUACACAUGCUGUAUCGAGCGAGAAGCUAACUUCGGUUAGGUGGACAGCGGCGCACGGGCGAGAUAACGCGUGGGAAUUUACCUUUCGGCGGGGGACAACAGUUGGAAACGACUGCUAAUACCGCAUACGCCCUACGGGGGAAAGAUUUAUCACCGCAAAGAUAGGCCCGCGUUAGAUUAGGUAGUUGGUAGGGUCAAAGCCUACCAAGCCGACGAUCUAUAGCUGGUUUGAGAGAACGAUCAGCCACACUGGAACUGAGACACGGUCCAGACUCCUACGGGAGGCAGCAGUGGGGAAUCUUGCACAAUGGGCGAAAGCCUGAUGCAGCCAUGCCGCGUGAGUGAGAAGGCCUUCGGGUUGUAAAACUCUUUUAGAUGUGAAGAUGAUGACGGUAACAUCAGAAAAAGCACCGGCUAACUUCGUGCCAGCAGCCGCGG